AUCCAACUGACAAGUCCAAAAUAGGAUGGAACGCGCAUCCUGGAU
Molecule: non-coding RNA, 45 nt
Organism: Schistosoma curassoni
Lineage: Eukaryota; Metazoa; Platyhelminthes; Trematoda; Strigeidida; Schistosomatidae
Source: Rfam